GGCGACAUGGCCUAGUGGUAAAGUAGAGGACUGCAAAACCUUUUUUUCCCCAGUUCAAAUCCGGGUGUCCCCU
RNAcentral lists this transfer RNA (73 nucleotides) under Solanum lycopersicum (tomato). It matches the Rfam family "tRNA". From Rfam's summary of the family: Transfer RNA (tRNA) molecules are approximately 80 nucleotides in length. The record is from Rfam by way of RNAcentral. Lineage: Eukaryota; Viridiplantae; Streptophyta; Magnoliopsida; Solanales; Solanaceae.